RNAcentral lists this unclassified non-coding RNA (282 nucleotides) under uncultured bacterium. RNAcentral describes it as "partial contains 16S ribosomal RNA and 16S-23S ribosomal RNA intergenic spacer region". It matches the Rfam family "Bacterial small subunit ribosomal RNA", at positions 72 to 360 of the family's 1533-position model. The record is from RNAcentral.
GCGACUUCUGUCUCUAGCGGCGGGCGGGUGAGUAACACGUGCGUAACCUGCCUCAUAGAGGGGGAUAGCCUCCCGAAAGGGAGAUUAAUACCGCAUAACAUCAUGCUUUGGCAUGGAAGUGUGAUCAAAGUAGUAAUCCGCUAUGAGAUGGACCCGCGGCGCAUUAGCUAGUUGGUGAGGUAACGGCUCACCAAGGCGAAGAUGCGUAGCCGACCUGAGAGGGUGAUCGGCCACAUUGUAUCCAGACACGGUGAAGACUCCUACGGGAGGUCGGAUGUGGGA